RNAcentral lists this ribosomal RNA (875 nucleotides) under uncultured archaeon. Its description in RNAcentral is "bacterial SSU rRNA". It matches the Rfam family "Archaeal small subunit ribosomal RNA", at positions 31 to 903 of the family's 1478-position model. The record is from RNAcentral.
UAUGGGGGUCCGACUAAGCCAUGCGAGUCAUGGGGCGCGCUCUGCGCGCACCGGCGGACGGCUCAGUAACACGUCGGUAACCUACCCUCGGGAGGGGGAUAACCCCGGGAAACUGGGGCUAAUCCCCCAUAGGCCUGAGGUACUGGAAGGUCCUCAGGCCGAAAGGGUCUUUGACCGCCCGAGGAUGGGCCGGCGGCCGAUUAGGUAGUUGGUGGGGUGACGGCCCACCAAGCCGAAGAUCGGUACGGGCCAUGAGAGUGGGAGCCCGGAGAUGGACACUGAGACACGGGUCCAGGCCCUACGGGGCGCAGCAGGCGCGAAACCUCCGCAAUGCGGGCAACCGCGACGGGGGGACCCCCAGUGCCGUGGCAUCGCCACGGCUUUUCCGGAGUGUAAAAGCUCCGGGAAUAAGGGCUGGGCAAGGCCGGUGGCAGCCGCCACGGUAAUACCGGCGGCCCGAGUGGUGGCCGCUAUUAUUGGGCCUAAAGCGUCCGUAGCCGGGCCCGUAAGUCCCUGGCGAAAUCCCACGGCUCAGCCGUGGGGCUUGCUGGGGAUACUGCGGGCCUUGGGACCGGGAGAGGCGGGGGGUACCCCUGGGGUAGGGGUGAAAUCCUAUAAUCCCAGGGGGACCGCCAGUGGCGAAGGCGCCCCGCUGGAACGGGUCCGACGGUGAGGGACGAAGGCCGGGGGAGCGAACUGGAUUAGAUACCCGGGUAGUCCUGGCUGUAAAGGAUGCGGGCUAGGUGUCGGGCGAGCUUCGAGCUCGCCCGGUGCCGAAGGGAAGCCGUUAAGCCCGCCGCCUGGGGAGUACGGCCGCAAGGCUGAAACUUAAAGGAAUUGGCGGGGAGCACUACAAGGGGUGGAGCGUGCGGUUU